Molecule: ribosomal RNA, 451 nt
Filed under: Neisseria perflava
Lineage: Bacteria; Pseudomonadati; Pseudomonadota; Betaproteobacteria; Neisseriales; Neisseriaceae
Description: bacterial SSU rRNA
Rfam family: Bacterial small subunit ribosomal RNA
Source: RNAcentral
AGUCGGACGGCAGCACAGAGAAGCUUGCUUCUUGGGUGGCGAGUGGCGAACGGGUGAGUAACAUAUCGGAACGUACCGAGUAAUGGGGGAUAACUAAUCGAAAGAUUAGCUAAUACCGCAUAUUCUCUGAGGAGGAAAGCAGGGGACCUUCGGGCCUUGCGUUAUUCGAGCGGCCGAUAUCUGAUUAGCUAGUUGGUGGGGUAAAGGCCUACCAAGGCGACGAUCAGUAGCGGGUCUGAGAGGAUGAUCCGCCACACUGGGACUGAGACACGGCCCAGACUCCUACGGGAGGCAGCAGUGGGGAAUUUUGGACAAUGGGCGCAAGCCUGAUCCAGCCAUGCCGCGUGUCUGAAGAAGGCCUUCGGGUUGUAAAGGACUUUUGUCAGGGAAGAAAAGGCUGUUGCUAAUACCGACAGCUGAUGACGGUACCUGAAGAAUAAGCACCGGCUAA